Molecule: unclassified non-coding RNA, 285 nt
Filed under: plant metagenome
Description: partial contains small subunit ribosomal RNA, internal transcribed spacer 1, and 5.8S ribosomal RNA
Rfam family: Eukaryotic small subunit ribosomal RNA (bases 1-54)
Source: RNAcentral
GGAAGUAAAAGUCGUAACCAGGUUUCCGUAGGUGAGCCUGCGGAAGGAUCAUUAUUGUAUAACCGAGGUGCGAGGGCUGUCGCUGACCCGAAAGGUCGUGCACGCUCGAGUGCCCUCACACACAUCCAUCUCACCCCUAUGUGCACCACCGCGUGGGUCCCCCUUUGGCUUGUUCGGAGGGGGGCUUACGUUUUCACACAAACUUUGUAUGCAGUGUAGAAUGUAUUUUUUGUUUUUGCGAUCACGCAAUCAAUACAACUUUCAACAACGGAUCUCUUGGCUCCC